Non-coding RNA from Gossypium raimondii (Peruvian cotton), 87 nucleotides. The record is from Rfam. NCBI's taxonomy places the organism in Eukaryota, Viridiplantae, Streptophyta, Magnoliopsida, Malvales, Malvaceae.
CACGUCAGCGCGCUUUGCUGACGUGGCAGCAAAUCGUGUCCUAGAGGGUGCGAUUUGUUGCCAUGUUAGCCAAGCGCACUGACGUGG